UGACCGUGCAAAGGUAGCAUAAUCAAUUGUUCUUUAAAUAAGGACUAGUAUGAAUGGCAUUACGAGGGUUUAACUGUCUCCCUAUUUUAAUCAAUGAAAUUGAUCUUCCCGUGAAGAAGCGGGAAUAUAACUAUAAGACGAAAAGACCCCAUGGAGCUUUAAACUUAUUUUCAAUUACCAAAACCCAAAACAUAUACCUGGUAAAAAUGAUAAUCGUUUUCGGUUGGGGCGACCCUGGAGAAAAAUAAAUCCUCCAAGCUGAAUAGAUUAAAAAUCUAAUGUUAGAGUAACAACUCAAACAAUCAAAAUCUUGACAAAAUGACCCAGAAUUUAUCUGAUCAACGAACCAAGUUACCCUGGGGAUAACAGCGCAAUCCAUUUCAAGAGCCCCUAUCGACAAAUGGGUUUACGACCUCGAUGUUGGAUCGGGAUAUCCUAGCAGCGCAGCCGUUGCUUAAGGUUCGUUUGUUCAACGAUUAAUAAUCCCACGUGAUCU
RNAcentral lists this ribosomal RNA (496 nucleotides) under Hyperolius glandicolor. RNAcentral describes it as "partial large subunit ribosomal RNA". It matches the Rfam family "Bacterial large subunit ribosomal RNA", at positions 1943 to 2606 of the family's 2925-position model. Lineage: Eukaryota; Metazoa; Chordata; Amphibia; Anura; Hyperoliidae. The record is from RNAcentral.